GCCAGGUGUGGUGGCUCACACCUGUAAUCCCAGUACACUGGGGGGCUGAGGUGGGAGAAUCAAUUGGGCCCAGGAGUUUUGAGACCAGCCUGGGCAAUAUGGUGAGACCCCAUCUCUA
This 118-nucleotide small RNA is filed under the name Callithrix jacchus (white-tufted-ear marmoset). RNAcentral describes it as "Metazoan signal recognition particle RNA (ENSCJAG00000079245.1)". Lineage: Eukaryota; Metazoa; Chordata; Mammalia; Primates; Cebidae. The record is from Rfam by way of RNAcentral.